AAGAAAGCUGAGGACGGAAGGCGAGCCGUGCUAGGUACGCCGGCCAACACACACAAUACACAAAAGAAGCGUGAUGUGCCGGCCAACCUCGCGUGUAGGACUGAGCAGUAGCUUGUUAGUAGUACAAAUCUCCCCGAAGAGGAAGUAUUCCUGAGGGUAAUUACACUACUGCCUAAGAUGACAAGCCUGAAUGUUUCUACGUACAUAAUUUAGCAUCUUCAGGUUCAGGCUUAUAAUCUUUCUUUAGGCCAACUCCACCGCACGCAUCCUAUCAUGUCCGUCCCGGUCCGUUUGGGGUAAAAGGGACAAAGGAGGAGGCCCAGCGCGCGGACGCAAACGGACUAUUGUUCGUUUUGUGUCCGUUUUCGACCCAUCCGCGGCCCAAGUUUGCGCUGCUUUUGGGGUGAAACGGACACCAAGCGGACGCGCGGGUCGUCUGCGCCUGUCCUCCCCUGGCCCGCUCGUCGGUGGCACAGGACGGGCCUUUUUCUAUCCGCCCCCUCCUCCCUCUGGCCGCAUCCACUCCACUCUUCCACACUCUUCCCCUCUCUCUCCCCCUCGCCGCCGCCGGCCGCCCGCUGCCGUUGCAGCCGUGCACCUCGGACGCGCGCUUGCCCAGCCCGUUCCUCUCGUCGCCGCCGAGCUACCCAAGCACGGCCACCUUGUUUGCGCACCCGCCGGCCGGAUUUGGGGCGGAUCCGGUCGGUCUUGAGCUCGCCCGGCUGUGGGAGGCCGGACCGCGCCAUGGACUGGCCGGGCACCUUGCCGGAAGGCCCUGGCAGGGCCGCAAGGCCACAUGCAGGCAGUGGCUCGUCCUCUAGCCGCUCGGAUCUGCACCGCCCGUGGUCCGCCGGCAGAUACGUGAAUGGCGGCCGGCCGGGCUCGGUGCUUGCCCAAAAGCUCGUCGACGCACCGUUGCCCCUCAUCAAAUGCGACCACUGCCCAAGGGUGGUCGUGCGCCGCGUGUCUACAACGCCGGAGCAUCCCGGGUGGGUGUUCAUCAAGUGCUUAAACGAUGGGACCGGAUGCAAGUUUUGGUAUUAGGAAGAAGAGUACAUCGAUCUGUUGAUCGAGCGAAAUGUAGUGCAUGUUCGUGCACUUUUAGCUAGCUUAGAAGCUUUAGAUGAGACAAGUGCAUUUGUUGCUAGAUUAGAGUCUAGGCACGAUACUACGUGCGAAGAAGCAACAAGGCACGAUACUACGUGUGAGGAAGCAACGUCGACUUCUGGCUUGAAGAAGAAAGGAGGGGGCAACGUCGUGCCUCCUCCACAGAUCAACAAUGAGUGCGUCGAGAAGGCGCUAACUCAACUCAAGGGAGCAGUUAUGGAAGUCGGGUAUCUUCUCAAAUGUAUUCUUAUGGUUCUUGUUUUCUUUGGCCUUAUUUUACUAGUCAAAAUGUGAUGAUGUAUUGUUAUGUACCGAAAAUGAAUGAUAAAAAAAAUUGAAGGACUUGC
RNAcentral lists this ribosomal RNA (1454 nucleotides) under Triticum aestivum (bread wheat). RNAcentral's name for it is "partial small subunit ribosomal RNA". The record is from RNAcentral. Lineage: Eukaryota; Viridiplantae; Streptophyta; Magnoliopsida; Poales; Poaceae.